This 380-nucleotide ribosomal RNA is filed under the name uncultured eukaryote. RNAcentral describes it as "partial 18S ribosomal RNA". It matches the Rfam family "Eukaryotic small subunit ribosomal RNA", at positions 592 to 976 of the family's 1831-position model. The record is from RNAcentral.
CAAUAGCGUAUAUUAAAGUUGUUGCAGUUAAAAAGCUCGUAGUUGGAUUUGUGGCGUACAGUGUGUUCCGGGCACUUGUUGUCUGAGUAACCUGCUGUUGCCAUCCUUGGGUGGAACCUGUGUGGCAUUAGGUUGUCGUGCAGGGGAUGCCCAUCAUUUACUGUGAAAAAAUUAGAGUGUUCAAAGCAGGCUUAUGCCGUUGAAUAUAUUAGCAUGGAAUAAUGAGAUAGGACUUUUUUGCUAUUUUGUUGGUUUGCGCAAAGAGGUAAUGAUUAAUAGGGACAGUUGGGGGUAUUCGUAUUCCAUUGUCAGAGGUGAAAUUCUUGGAUUUUUGGAAGACGAACUACUGCGAAAGCAUUUACCAAGGAUGUUUUCAUUAA